Catharus ustulatus (Swainson's thrush) is the source of this 3710-nucleotide long non-coding RNA. RefSeq lists it as uncharacterized. The record is from RefSeq and is a predicted model, not a curated record. Lineage: Eukaryota; Metazoa; Chordata; Aves; Passeriformes; Turdidae. The transcript has 5 exons.
AGCCAAAUGCCAGUGAGGUGUCGCACAUUGGAAGUGUGCAGGUUGCCAAAUUGUAUAACCCACUUGGAGGUUUGCAGGCAAAUGUCAGAGAGGCAUGGUCCAAGGAGCAGGAAGUGGAGAAAGGCAUUAAAAAUUUGACCUACAUUGAGAGGCUGAAGGAGCGUGCCAAGAAAGUUAAAAUACCAGAGCUCAGGAAAGCUCCACAGAGCACUCCAGAUCCUGUGCCUGAGAGGAAGAGAACGAUGCCCACGAACCCUGCCAAAAUUCUUCCCGAGACUUUGCAGUUCUGUUUCUCAACGCCCAGUCAGGGACAGGGUGAUUCAUUUACUGGCUCUGAAGAAUUACAAGCAGCCAGAGCUCCUUGCCCGCUUGCAGAGAGAGGGAGUUGUGGAAAAGGACAAGGAAUCCCUUGGAAAGAUCCUUCAGGAGAAAAACAGUUCCACCUCAGAAUGCCACCAACACCAGCCAGUCAUCAUCUCUGGGACCUUCUGAGAGAGAUACUCCACUGAGAACUGCUCAGAAACGGCUUCUGGCUUCUGAUUUUAUCAAUCCUGGGAUGAACAAGAAGCAGAGGAUUGACCAACAGCCCAGUGAUGUCCAGCCAGCAGCUGGUGGCCACUCUCCUUCGUCAUUUCUCCUGUCUUCCACAUCCUGUUCAGCUUUGAACCUGCCUCCAAGAGUCACCUCUAUUUCCACAACCACCCCUGGUGUACGACAAAAAUGUGGAAUUCAGACUCCUUCUGGAAUCCCAGUGGCUUCCAGAGUGCAGGGAAGACUGCCAUGUCUAAAGAGGAAAAAACAGAAUUGGAUAAGAUGCAAAAAUCCCAUCCUUUGGAUUUUGAUGAAGGUAUCAGUGCAGUGCUUUUCCAAACUCCUGUGUGGGCAACCCUGGUGAAAAUGGAGCAGUGAAACCAGGGACCAGAAACACAAAGGCACUGGUGUAUAUUAGUGCUUUACUAUUCUCCCUGUUUCACGGGCACAAAAAAGGGGUUUUUUUUCUGCCAUUGCAUUAUAGUACUUGCAAUAACCAGAAGCAAAGAGAUGAGCAGAGUGUGCAUGAACCAGACAGAAAAGGCGUUUUGCAAAGUGCCGAGAGUGUUAAACCUGAUGGACCAGAGUUAGACAUACUUCCAUUUCAUUUUUUACUGCAUAUCUGUAUGGUUGUUUACUCAUCUCCAACCUCUCAUCCAUCAGUACCCUCAAGUCCUCCCCACCGUCAUGCCCCAGCCUGCCUCGGUGACAGGGGAUGCCCCAAAACCAAAGACGCAGCACUUUGUCCUUGGCCUUAUCAAACCUGGUGAGGUUUCCAGGGCUCCACUUCCCAAGCUUGUCCAGGUCCCUCUGGAUGGCAUCCCAUGCCCCUGGUGCUGGUAAACUUGCUGAGGGUGCCCUUAAUCCCACUGUCCAUGUCAUUCUUGACAUAACUCGAUGCUUGAGCUUACGAAGUGGGGAAAUCAUACAAAAGCACCAUGCAUAUAAAGAACUUUUCAGAAAAACCUCCACUAUCACGCUUUACCAGCUUUUUAAAAUUACCCUAUCUUUCUAAUGCUUCAUUAUCUAAGUUCUUACAGAUUGAAAGAAGCAGAACAAAUGGAGGUUCAAUAGUCCUGGUACAUGCUUCAUAAAUCAACUUCCUUGCCUUCUUCCAAACUCCCGUAUGACUUUUUUUUAAUUUGUUUUCCUUUCCUUUGGCAAAACAAGCAGACAUUAAAAGACCCAACCAAAGUCUUCACAUCCUGCACCUGAGAAGAAGAAAUCAGUGCCCAUGAAACUUGCAGGCAGUGAAGGGAAUUCUUGCACUGCUGUUUAUGGCCGACCCUACAGGGACAGGGUGAUUCAUUUACUUGCCCUGACAAAGUACAGGAAGCCAGAGAUACUUGCCUGCCUGCAGAGAGAUGGAGUCAGGCAAAAGGACAGGGAAGGGUACCCUCGGAAUGAUCCUUCAGCACGUGAGAUUCUGGAGUUCUGCUAGCAAUUUUUCCGCCAUGCUAUAGUUUUGUUCCUAGUUUUUACUUGUUUCCUCCACUGUUUAAAUUAGAAACUAUCGAGCAACUUAUGUAACGUUUUCUGUAAAAUUUUCCUGACAUUCAUGCAGAUGCCUCAAGGUGCAAGUCGAUGUGAGGAAAAGAGAGAAAACUUGAAAAGUUUUGGAGCAUUUUUGUUUUGCUACAAUAGUUGUCAAUGAUGAAGUCUUGGUUAUGUUGUUGCUUGCCAAGCCUUAUUUUAUUCUUUCUCUUUUCCUUGCAUUCUUUAACUACUUCAUGGAGUAACUUCACAGGUGUUCCUUGAAUGUGUGAAACAGUUUCUUGUCAUACUUAAAUUUCCUGGAACAAGUUUCAGAGGACAACAUUUUGGUAGCUGCUUAUGCAGUAUUUGAUUUGAAUGGAGUAAGUGGCUUCUCACAGGUAAUUGGCUUCUGCUGGGAUCUGUGGGGAUUGCCUUCCAGGGAAGGGUGUUCCAGGCAAAUCCUACAUGAUAGAGUUUGUGGCUCCACUUUCAGCUCAGGAUUUCUUUGCUGUCAUUUGAUUGAGUCAUCACCUUCCUUGGAACCUUUCUUUAUUGUGUAAUGUUUCCUGUGCUCCUCUGAAGUCUAUAAGUAUUUCUUUAUCAUAUCCAUUCAUGAUCAGCACACCCACUGAAAGAUGCAGUAGCUCCUUUCUUCCUUUUUAAAUGUUCUCCAUCUGCAUAGGCUGUUGCUGAAUCAUGCAAGAAUUAACAUACCAAGUAGGAAUAUUUUUCUUUUUAACUAGGAAAAAAGUGUCUUGAAACUGAGUCAAGGGAGUCAAAUUCAACAGGGAUACAGUUUCAGUUGAUCCCACAAUGACUCCUAAGAACUCAUUGCUUGACCCUGUUGGUUUGUUGUUUUGUUUGCCCAGAGCAGUGGCAGGGAUUUUUCAACCUGAAGAAAUUCACAGUUUAGUGAGAGCCAUGUUCUGCUAUCCAAAUUCAGUCGGUCCGUUUAUGCUUCAUGAUGAUAACAAAUUUCAAACAUCUACUCCUUAGAAAGUAAAGGGUGAAAACACUUUCUCCUGUUCCAUUGCAAAGUUUAAGGAGAUUGCCUUGGAGGCAAUUUCCUGUAUGAGGUGUGAACUGCUUCAAGGUACUGGUUUGUAUUCUGAAAGGGCUGUGUGAGCAGCACUCCACCCUGAAAUGCCUUGCUCAGGCUUUUCUGGACAUCAGGGCAAGUGGGCUUUUUCCUGUAUAAAUCUGGAAAGGGCAGCCUGAGCUUGCGGAGAUCUGGUAUAAACACACUUGCUUCCCUUCCGACACAAUCUUAGUUCUGCUUUUAAGACAUGAAUUUCCUGAUUCUGGGUAUCUUUGUAUUUUUAUAAUUUUUUUAAGCUGGGGAGACAGACAUCAGCACAGAUCUGAAUCUGCAGUGGUUGUCAUGUUUUCAAAGAAAGAAAAAGGACAGAUUUUGAGAGGUGGUAGUGGUGUGAUGAUGAGUUAUUUAAUGUGUUGUAGAGGUCAAAUUGAUGGAGACUUUUGCUAUGGGCUUUUCUAUGGAACUCUGAGCAGGUGUCAGGUGAUGAAGUCUAAACCAGCACAUUUCAUAUUGAUGAUCUUGAGGUUUUAUUACCUCAUUUUAGCUUUUUGAGUAGAUUUUGUAUUUGUCUUGUGGAAGAUAUGAACCUUAUUGAUUUUCAAAGGAACAGAGCAAGCCAUGUAACAUGGAAUGUUUGACAAUCCUUACAGCAAAUCAGCCCCAU